CUGAACACACUAGAAACAUUCUUAUUGGAAAACUAAAAUAAAAUAAAACAAAAAAACCUUAAAAAUAAUUCUUGUUCAUCUCCAUCCAGAAAAAAAUCGCAUAUUCAACUAUUAAAUUCGAAAUCCAAAAGGCAACCAGGCAUUCGAACAAUCGAAAUGAAUUUAAGGGGAUCACUAGCUAUCGCUGUGGUUGCAGUUGUCUGGAUUUUAACAAUCCAACCGGCAUAUUCUCUCAAAUGUUGGUACUGUGUUUCCACUGUACAACCAUGGUGUGGUGAUCCUUUUGAUUCAGAUAGUGGAAAUUCUACAUAUCAGUGCGAAGUAACUUCUCCGACUGGUGUUUGUGUUAAAGCCAAAUUAACUGAUGGUGAUAAAUCCGUCACGAGGGCUUGCUUCCCAACAGAUCCCUGUAUUAACGCGGCAGAAGGGGGGGAAUGCACAUCUUGCAAGACGGACUUAUGUAAUGGUGGUUCAGCUUCUGGUCCAGCCAUAUUGCUUUCAGCUGCGGUAGCUUUUGUGCUGAUUACCAUACAAUACUGAAUUUCCCCUGGACCAACAAUGAAUUUGACUGAUUAUAUUUGAAAGUUCAUUCAAUAUUGCAAUAAAGGGUCGAAU
Molecule: long non-coding RNA, 615 nt
Organism: Sitodiplosis mosellana (orange wheat blossom midge)
Lineage: Eukaryota; Metazoa; Arthropoda; Insecta; Diptera; Cecidomyiidae
Exons: 3
Source: RefSeq, a predicted model, not a curated record